UCCCAACCAGCACAGCAUGGCUUCAGUGAAAGCAGAAGAUUCAUUUACUGAUGUAACAACUGAAAAGAGAUGUCACAGGCAGGGGAAGAGAGAAGGGACAGAACUGUGAGUUCCCUGUGAGCCAGGACUGAGAGCUCUGCCACAUACUUCUCUGUGUUCUGAGUAACCCUAAACACUGAAGAGCCAGGAAUAACUCCUUUGCUGCAGUCAGUGCUUGAUACAGGCACUUCUUUUAUCUACUGAGUGAAAUAAUCAAAGACAAGAGAAAACACUGUGCCAGGUAGCUGGUGGCAGAAUGGAAACAAUAUUUGAAAGACUAUCACAGCUCCAGAGGUCAAUGUGCAUUUCAAAAACACACUGUGCUGUGGGUCUCUGCCCAGAGCCACCAAGGGUGCCCACCAUCUCCUACUCAUAGACUGCCAGAUACCACCAGCCAGGGCUCUGACAUUGCUUUAGGGACAAGGAAUUAUAUUUUGCAUUGGCUCAACUUUUUCAAUAACUACAACCAGAGAAAGACUGAAGUAGUCUGCAACAGGCAGAACAUCAGCCUCUUAUUCCACUUACCCUGAAAGGCUGUUGACACUCAUGCCUAUAAAGUGCUCAAAAUUAGAGCAGAGCUGUUAUUAUCACUGAAAAUACUUCCCAUGGAAGCUCAUUUGUGCUUUUUUAAAUCAGUCUGGGUGUUGAAAGGUAGUAGAAAACCUGGUGUCUGUAAUCUCUGCAACAUGAAAAAGGCUGGGUUCACUCUCAGUUUCUAGUGAGACGAUCCUACCACCAUAUGGUGGACCAGGUUGAGUCUGUUCUGCCUUGCUGAGGCAAAAGCUGUGGCUGAGGCUUGGGUCCACCAGGCACUCUCCUCAGUGUCACUUCUGUCCCUUUUUACAUGAAGGCAGUCACCAGAACAAACGCUGGACCAGCUGCAAGACUUUUCUCUUGGGAAGCACAUAAAGGACCUGUGUGUUAGAGCUAGAGAGGGUUUCAGCACACCCCAAGCAAAAAGUAGACUCCUACUGCCCCCACCCCCCCUCCAAUACCUACACUACAUCCAGUUAGUCACAUGCUUGAGCAAAGGUAAGGAUGGAAAAGGAGUAAAUUGUUUUCAUCCCUAUCAGACAGAGGUAAGUUUUUCUUAGGGAUCAGUUCUGAGUAUCUAGCACACCUGUACAACAUGGAAGUUCUAACCUUACCCUGAAUGCUAUUAUAUGAACUGAAAAAUUUCAGUUUGCAGUUCCUCAUUCCAGAAAAUAUCUAUCUCAGUAAAAGCUUACAGGAAGAAGGCUUUGCAGAAGUAAUGCAGAACACAGUAGCUACUUCCAUGGGGCUCUGCUGUGGGUCUUUAUUGUGUUUAAAUUUGAGAAGUAUGUUGUUCUGCAGAAGAAAACUUAAGUGUUCAAAGAGGACAUCAACUUCUACUAUUGCCUCCUGAAAGACUAUGGCAAGGCAGAGCGGAACAUCCUUGUUCCCAUUCUGCUGCAUUUACACUGAUGCUCAGCAGACCACACAAGCAUGGUGGCUCUCCUGUUCUAAAAGGAGUGUAAAUACUGGAAUUGUCAGCAAAUGGGCAAGUUAGUCUCUCCUAACCCCCACUCCAGCCAAAGCCCAUAUGUAGCUGCUGUAAUACCAACAAGCCUUUGGGAACUAGUUUUUCUUAGAAAAAUAAGUUAAUGCACCAAGUCAGCUGUUAACUUUGCAAGGUGCUGUCUGAGAUAAGGGCUCACAUGAACUAUUUCUCUGCUACACAAGUACUAAGUCUUAUAAAGCCAAGUUUUAAGGUACUUCAGGCAUUCUGACACUUAGUAACUGCAUUAACUAGUAUAUGGAAGCAAGAUUAAUAUUUAUUAGCUUGAAGUAUCAUAUUUUAUUCAAGUGAUAUCAUAAUACAUUAUGCAUCUGCCAGUUAUAAUCCAUUUUAAUUGGUUCCAAAACCUAAGCAGUAAAUAAGUAAGACAGUUUAUCUAGUUAAACUGAAAAAACAGCAUUCCACACAGCCAGUACUAGAGAUGUCAACCGUAUAGUAAUUCCAGCAUUAUGUUGUUAUGGCUUUCCAGAAAGUCAUGAAGUUAACAAAUUAGAACACAUCAAGAGCCAUUUUCCAAAGAUUUAUUGAAGUAGCGACAGGUUGCUCAUACUGUGCUGGAAAAAGCAGUUUUAUUGAAUUCAGAUACUUAAAAACAGUAUUGCAGCACAAGAUAUUGCUAUUUGUAAACUAGACUCCAUUGUAAACUCUAAUCCUUCAGGGAGAGUCAGUUUGCAAGAUCUAAGACCUAUUUCCUAGCAUAAUCAUCUU
Long non-coding RNA from Passer domesticus (house sparrow), 2287 nucleotides. RefSeq lists it as uncharacterized. NCBI's taxonomy places the organism in Eukaryota, Metazoa, Chordata, Aves, Passeriformes, Passeridae. The record is from RefSeq and is a predicted model, not a curated record. The transcript has 2 exons.